This 245-nucleotide ribosomal RNA is filed under the name uncultured bacterium. RNAcentral's name for it is "partial small subunit ribosomal RNA". It matches the Rfam family "Bacterial small subunit ribosomal RNA", at positions 26 to 285 of the family's 1533-position model. The record is from RNAcentral.
AGAAUCAACGCUGGCGGCGUGCCUAACACAUGCAAGUCGAACGAGAAAGGGUAGCAAUACCUGAGUAAAGUGGCGCACGGGUGAGUAACACGUGACUAACCUACCCUGGAGUGGGGGAUAACCGAGGGAAACCUCAGCUAAUACCGCAUAACACCUACGGGUCAAAGGAGCAAUUCGCUUCAGGAGGGGGUCGCGGCCGAUUAGUUAGUUGGCGGGGUAAUGGCCCACCAAGACUGUGAUCGGUA